This 433-nucleotide ribosomal RNA is filed under the name uncultured bacterium. RNAcentral describes it as "partial 16S ribosomal RNA". It matches the Rfam family "Bacterial small subunit ribosomal RNA", at positions 29 to 507 of the family's 1533-position model. The record is from RNAcentral.
AACGAACGCUGGCGGCAUGCCUAACACAUGCAAGUCGAACGAGAUCUUCGGAUCUAGUGGCGCACGGGUGCGUAACGCGUGGGAAUCUGCCCCUUGCUUCGGAAUAACAGUGAGAAAUUACUGCUAAUACCGGAUGAUGUCUUCGGACCAAAGAUUUAUCGGCAAGGGAUGAGCCCGCGUAGGAUUAGGUAGUUGGUGGGGUAAUGGCCUACCAAGCCGACGAUCCUUAGCUGGUCUGAGAGGAUGAUCAGCCACACUGGGACUGAGACACGGCCCAGACUCCUACGGGAGGCAGCAGUGGGGAAUAUUGGACAAUGGGCGAAAGCCUGAUCCAGCAAUGCCGCGUGAGUGAUGAUGGCCUUAGGGUUGUAAAGCUCUUUUACCAGGGAUGAUAAUGACAGUACCUGGAGAAUAAGCUCCGGCUAACUCCGUG